Long non-coding RNA from Sapajus apella (tufted capuchin), 537 nucleotides. RefSeq lists it as uncharacterized. NCBI's taxonomy places the organism in Eukaryota, Metazoa, Chordata, Mammalia, Primates, Cebidae. The record is from RefSeq and is a predicted model, not a curated record. The transcript is spliced from 2 exons.
AAAUGAGUCACUCCCCCCUCGCCACCCCCAUUUACUCAUCUGAGGCAGGAGCUGACCUAGGAGCUGGGGAACCACUCACAGGCCUUGGGCGAAGGUCAGUGCCUGCAUAGACCUGGCCAGCACCGCGUGCUUGAACUUGGCAUCUCAGCCUCUCACCACGGGGACCGUGCGGCCAGGGAAAGUGCUGGCUUGCUUCCAGAAAAGUCCUGAAUUCAGACUGUGUCAGGUGUCUGCAAGCUUCCACUUCACCUUAAAGAAACUCAAACUGAAAAAGAGCACGGUCCGCGCUUGGAAGAAGACGUGGGACUCCAGGUGGUGACUUCGUCAAAUCAGUGGACCGCUGAUCCUCAAACAGCGGGGGUUUGAACUGGAGGGUCUUUCCACUCCUACGUGGGCUUCUUCCGCCUCUGUCACUUGGGAGAUGGCAAGGCCAACGCCCACCCCUCCUCUUCCUCAGCCUACACAACAUGAAGACGACGAAGACGGAGACCUUUACGAUGAUCCCCUUCCACUUAAUAAAUAGUAAAUAUCUUUCCA